This 301-nucleotide ribosomal RNA is filed under the name uncultured bacterium. RNAcentral describes it as "partial 16S ribosomal RNA". It matches the Rfam family "Bacterial small subunit ribosomal RNA", at positions 509 to 809 of the family's 1533-position model. The record is from RNAcentral.
CAGUCGCCGCGGUAAUACGUAGGUGGCAAGCGUUGUCCGGAAUUAUUGAGCGUAAAGGGCUCGCAGGCGGUUUCUUAAGUCUGAUGUGAAAGCCCCCGGCUCAACCGGGGAGGGUCAUUGGAAACUGGGAAUCUUGAGUGCAGAAGAGGAGAGUGGAAUUCCACGUGUAGCGGUGAAAUGCGUAGAGAUGUGGAGGAACACCAGUGGCGAAGGCGACUCUCUGGUCUGUAACUGACGCUGAGGAGCGAAAGCGUGGGGAGCGAACAGGAUUAGAUACCCCCGUAGUCCCUGUCUCUUAUAA